This 113-nucleotide ribosomal RNA is filed under the name Zingiber officinale. The record is from RNAcentral. Lineage: Eukaryota; Viridiplantae; Streptophyta; Magnoliopsida; Zingiberales; Zingiberaceae.
CAGGUCAAAUCUUAACAGUAGCGGCUUUCCCAUCAGAACUCCGAAGUUAAGCGUGCUUGGGCGAGAGCAGUACUAGGAUGGGUGACCCCCUGGGAAGUCCUCGUGUUGCACCU